RNAcentral lists this long non-coding RNA (282 nucleotides) under Pomacea canaliculata. RNAcentral's name for it is "uncharacterized LOC112556254". The record is from RNAcentral. Lineage: Eukaryota; Metazoa; Mollusca; Gastropoda; Architaenioglossa; Ampullariidae.
AAAGCAAGAGUCCCUUAUUCACAGAUCCUUCUCCUACAGCUUUAAUAUUUGAUGCACAGAGGGACUUUCAUUUCCACAAGUGUUGCAGCAGGGACCAGAUGAUGGAAGUCGUGUGAUUCUUGUGACACUCUCCCUAUGAGGGCUUACAAUGAAGAGGGUACCAACUGGAAAAAGAUGUGCUUCUAGAAAGUGAUUUAAAUUUGUAUGAAGCCAGAUAAUUCAAGCAGUUUUCUCUUUGUAUAAUAUUUUUUUUUACAGUAAAAGAGAUUUUUUCAAUGAAAA